UAUUUUCAAAAUCCUUGUCCUUUUUAAAGAAACAAGCUCUCCUCUGCUUCAUUCAUGUAUAUACAUACUGAGGAAUUUAUAUACGGAGGUCAUAACAAUAUACUACAAAAAAUACAUAUAUUACAUCUGGAGCACAACAACAAAGUUUUUACAUACCUGCAAUUGACUAAAGGUAAGUUAUGUAUGGAAACCAUACCCAUAAUACUACCAAGACUGUGUAAAAUCUGAAGUCCAUCUUAAAAAGUCUUAGAUACCUGUAGCUGGUUAAAUGCACUAAAGACAGCCUAAUGUUACCGAGCAACUACAUACUCAUAAGUCAAUCAUUUUCAUCCAUGACCUUAUUCAGUCCUCCCAAUAAACUGCAAGGUAUCAUUCCAUUUUUCCAAAUGAAGAAACUAAGGCUUAAGUGAAGCUAUGUACCUACCCAGCAAGGUGAUACUAGAACCAAGACUCAAAAGUUCCUAGCUUUUCACACCUCCAUUCAUGCUGCCUUUCAAGCAAUUUACAAAAAAAAAGAACUGAUCAACUAAAUAAUCAACUCAAAACAGUCUAUAGGAAAAGCAUACAUGAAAAACAGCAUGUGAUUUAUUCGCAAAACCUUUAAUUUUUUGUUGAGUUAUGCUGAUAAUUUAAUUCAUCUUUUGUUUUCAAUUUUGAUUUAAGUUUAUUCUUAGUCUACAGCCCUUAGAACUGAUAGGAAGCUGUGCCUACAAAAUAUCAACCAUGCUGCUACUUUAAACUACCUAAAGGAAUAGAUGCUUCUCUUUUCACACAGGUGUUAGACUUUAUGCAGACGCCCAGGGAGUAAUGACAGUUUGUCUUCUGUGGGAUUUCUUGGCUCAAACCACCAUUGCUAAGGUAAAAAUAAAACACCUAAGAAACCAGCUAGUUAAGCAUUUUAUAAACAGAGGAUUAACAUAUCAUGAUUCAAGUAAUUCACUGAUCGUAUUCUUUUGGAGACAUUUGACAAAACUCUAUUAUUAAUAAAUUACACCUUGAAAAUUUCAGAAUAGAUUUAUCUUAACUGUAUCAUAAGAACAUAUAAUUACACAUUGAAUUUUAGAAUAAUUAAUAAUGCUGGAUACAUAAAUAGUGUUUUUCAUCCCAUUCUCUCAAGGAACAAACACCUUGUCAUUAAACUUUGACAGGAGGAGAGAUUACCCCAUUAAAAAAUCACUGUGGACAGACCUGAAAAUGUUAUUUUCCUCUGGUAUCUUACACUGGCAUACUUCCAAAAUCAUUCAUAUGUCUUUUAGUUGUGUUGCUAGGUUUUGUUUGCUUGAUACCCUUUUUCAACAUACAUUUUGAACAUCAAUAUAAGUAUUUUGUUGUCUUUAAAAGAUUUUUCCCAAAGAGAAAGAAAAUGGCUAGUUUGGAUUUAGGGCAGGGAUGAGGAAAAAAAGAAGAAUAUGUCUCCUUUCCCCAUUCUACUAUACUUUCCUAGGGCUGUUCCAUUUUCACCCCACACAUACACCACAAAUACUCACUUGUAUUAAUAACUUAGCUAUUAAGAUGCUGUUUUUUAAACCCCAUUUAGUUAUGGGCAAAGCAUAUCAAAACACAAUGAAGAUCUUAAUAACAGAAACUAACAGGCAUAUUUUAUUUUCCAGAACUAGGUUAAAUGCUAUUUGAGUAUGAUAACUAUCCUCCCUGACAACGCAUGCAAAUCUCUUAAAAAAAAUAAUCUGUUUAUACUGACAUUUUAUGAAAUGGCUUGGGAGUGUUCUUUAUUUCAUCUUUUACAAUAUGAACUGGAGUUGAAGUUGCUUUUCAAAAUAGUCCUUAGAUAACUCUUUUAACACGAUGCCAUUAAAAGGGUAGAGGCUUAUCAAUGCUUCUUCAGCCUUCAAUGACAUGGUCACCUGAUAUUCUAGGAAACUUGUGAUCAUAAUCAAAGUAAAAUUAAGAGAAAUUAGUCUUAAGUUACUGGAAACUUUGGAACUCAAAACCCUGUAGUAAUAAAAAACUUUUUACCUGUCCUUAAAACCAAGAGGUCAAGUAUUCAUUGACCAAUAAAGACCCCCCCAUCAGCUAGAAAACACUUUAAAAUCCAAUUAACUCUUUCCCACAGACAGCCUUUAUUUUCUAUUUUAUCAGAAAGUUAAGUUUGCUAUUCUACACUCCAAUAAAAGUUAGGUUGUUUUGAUCUGAUAAUUGUAAGAUGUACUGUAUGUAUCUUAAUUUGUAAGUUUUUAAUGCUAAAGCUCAAAGCUGUUCAGAUAUAACAGGAGUGCUGGAAAUGAGGUACAAAAUACUGGAAUUCAAAUUAACCAAUAAAUAUAUUUUAAUAUAUAUCAGCAGGACUCUAGAGGAUUCCAUUAAUGUUGAAAAAUAGAAAGGAUUUAGGUUAAUUUGGUAAGAAGGCAGGUCAGAACGUUUACAACAGUGGUAUAGAAUUGUAUAGAGAUGCAAAAUUUUUCAAGAGAGCAGAAUUUUUUCAAAAACGCUGACUCUAGCUGUCACAGCCCUGCCUUGGCUAAAUCCAGUGGAGAGAUAGGAGGACUUUCUAAUUUGCUUUCCCUCUAUUUUAAUAAUAGCUGUGCAUAAGUAAUUUAUGAAAGGCCAACCAGGCAGUGGGCAACAGAAAAUUAAACUCAUUUUAUCUGAAAGCAGGUGGAUUUCUAUAUAUCAUUAGCAUGCAUAGAAUUCUCACAAUGUUAUUUCUCAUACUGAUGGAAUGUAACCAAAUAAUAUAUGAGUUUUUUGCUUAUGCACGAGUGAAAUUUUUAGAUAAAAGUGCCAGCCCCAAUGGCAAUUUUCUGCAAAACGAAAACUAAUUCUGCGAAGCUUCUUAUUACUGGAAAGACUCAUUUGGCUUGCAUUAGAGACUGACAUAAGUGACUUUAGGAUUUUACUAACAGAUUAGAUGAGAUGUGCCAUAUACAGUAAUAUCAUUAGAGAAUGUAACAGCACUGGAACGCUUUGGGGCACUUAUUAAGGGUACCAGCACAAGUAAAUUGUUUUCCUUUAUAACACAAGCUUUUGAAUUUUUUCUCUGAUUAGAAUGCUUUAUUUUUAUGGAUUUUUUUCCCUGACAUUUAAAACAACUUUUAUUUUACACCCCUCAAAAUUGCACACAAAUUAUGUUUUGCAUGAUUCAGCUCAGUGUUACUAAAUGCAUUAUCUAUGCCUUAUUUCAUGAAUAUCACCUAGGCAGAGGGUAGAUAUGUAUUAAGAAAACAGCUUACCACAAUACUAAAAUCAGAACUCCUCUAACAGAAUAUUAUCCUAACUUACAGCAAAGACUAAUCUUCAUGGCUCUGAGGAAUUUUUGCUAUUAGUACCUUUCACUAACUCCAUGUUUGUGUGGGUUCUACUCUCAACUUCUAACAAGAUCUUAAAAUUGGACCAUUAAAAGUGGUUAUUAUAAUAUGAAUACUCCUAUUGUUCUGUUUACUGCCAUCCUAAAAUUCAUUCAAGUAAAGAAAUAUUAUAGCUUUUUUAUUCUGUUGAAUCUUCCCUUAUCAAAAAUUAUGUAUCAAGCAAAACAUUUCUUGCUAAGGUAGGCAGAAAUAUGGGGUGAAGAUGGAAAUGCUUGUCACUUUAUAAAAGAAGCCAUUGGAAGAGCUAGGAGUAUUGGGGGAAUGAUUUUAUGCUCAAUAAUUUUUCCGUUAUGAAUUAUCUUUUCCUGAUAUAAGUUUUUACCUCUUCCUGGGUAUAGAGAGGAGUUUUCUUCCCCCUUCUUUCUAAAAGUUCUUUCACACUUCAUCGUAAGAGAAGGAAAUUAAUGAGAAAAAUGUACUACGCACCAAGCUACCUAGAGAAUAGCAGCCAUAGUGAUGAGUUUGGGAAUGUGCAUUUGGUGUCCCAGUCUAUGUAGUGAUGGGGUUGAGUUAUGGAAUCACACAGAGGGGAGAUGGAACCCCAUCUUUGCCAUUUUACUACACACCUUACUUUAGGCAAAUUACUUCUUCCCUUCUCUGAGUUUUUAUUUCUUCACCUAUAUGGUGGGAUCAUGACAGCACUAACCCUGAAGUUUUUCUCUGAGGAUCAUAUGCAACUGGAUUACCCUGUUGCUCAUAUUCCACCUCUACAGUGGAAGAGAGGCUCCUGCAAAGAGGGUGGCCCAAUGGAUUGAAAAUUAUGUCAGACCAAUUCUGCUAGAUGUUCCAGAUUUCUACAGGAAGAACUCAAGACUGUAUUAGCUAAAAACAGAAUGUGAAAAUAAUCAUUGAGACAAACCCCCAUGACCAAUCCUGAGCCAAAGACACUUCAAUCUAGGAAUGACUGAAGUCAGUCAUUGCAAUGUUCAAAAGUCACCUCUUCUGAGAAAUGGGUUGAACUGAGUUAGUCACAGCCAUUGGUGUGUUCCUAAUGCUGUUUUUAUUAGCUCACUUAACACACUGCAUGGAUAUUAUUUCCUUAAAUAUCAUCCUCACAUCUUGAACUCUUUGAGGGCAGGACUUCAUCUUUUCAAUUUCUUAACCUCAAGCUGUCAGCACAUUGCCAGAUAUAUAGAAGUUAUCAAAAUAAGUGUCUAUGAGCCUUUUGUGCACUUGUAAAAAUGUCUGAGACCCCCCCAAAAAAAGUACAAAAAAACUUUAAAAUUAAAUCAGUAAGUACUAAAAUUUUGACAAAUGGGAGUUCUCUUGUGGCACAGUGGGUUAAGGAUCCAGCAUUGUCACUGCAGUGGCUUGAGUCACUGCUGUGGUGAGGGUUUAAACCCUGGCCUGGGAAUUUCCAUAUACUGAGAGCAUGG
RNAcentral lists this long non-coding RNA (4699 nucleotides) under Sus scrofa (pig). RNAcentral's name for it is "lncRNA (ENSSSCG00000060908.1)". The record is from RNAcentral. Lineage: Eukaryota; Metazoa; Chordata; Mammalia; Artiodactyla; Suidae.